RNAcentral lists this long non-coding RNA (175 nucleotides) under Manacus vitellinus (golden-collared manakin). RNAcentral describes it as "lncRNA (ENSMVIG00005008797.1)". Lineage: Eukaryota; Metazoa; Chordata; Aves; Passeriformes; Pipridae. The record is from RNAcentral.
CUCGGGAGGAGGGAGGUGGUGCCACGAUGAGCACAUCAAGUGUUUUCUCUAAGUUACUCUUCUUCAAGCAAGGCUGAAAAAUGAACUCUAGAUACAAAGUGUGACACCAAAGGGUCUCUGGACUGGCAGUGCCCGACCCACCGGGAGCCCCUGCAGCCAAGCUUCCACCUCCUCA